This 253-nucleotide ribosomal RNA is filed under the name uncultured bacterium. Its description in RNAcentral is "partial 16S ribosomal RNA". It matches the Rfam family "Bacterial small subunit ribosomal RNA", at positions 524 to 776 of the family's 1533-position model. The record is from RNAcentral.
UACGUAGGGGGCGAGCGUUGGCCGGAAUUAUUGGGCGUAAAGGGCGCGUAGGCGGUCUGUCGCGUCGGUUGUGAAAACUCAGGGCUUAACCCUGAGCCUGCUUCCGAUACGGGCAGACUAGAGGUAUGCAGGGGAGAAUGGAAUACCUGGUGUAGCGGUGAAAUGCGCAGAUAUCAGGAGGAACGCCAGUGGCGAAGGCGGUUCUCUGGGAAUUUCCUGACGCUGAGGAGCGAAAGUGUGGGGAGCGAACAGG